RNAcentral lists this ribosomal RNA (115 nucleotides) under Photobacterium damselae. RNAcentral describes it as "partial 16S ribosomal RNA". It matches the Rfam family "Bacterial small subunit ribosomal RNA", at positions 1 to 101 of the family's 1533-position model. Lineage: Bacteria; Pseudomonadati; Pseudomonadota; Gammaproteobacteria; Vibrionales; Vibrionaceae. The record is from RNAcentral.
ACUUUAAUUGAAGAGUUUGAUCAUGGCUCAGAUUGAACGCUGGCGGCAGGCCUAACACAUGCAAGUCGAGCGGCAGCGACUUAACUGAACCUUCGGGGAACGUUAAGGGCGGCGA